ACGGGUGAGUAAUGCCUAGGAAUCUGCCUGGUAGUGGGGGAUAACGCUCGGAAACGGACGCUAAUACCGCAUACGUCCUACGGGAGAAAGCAGGGGACCUUCGGGCCUUGCGCUAUCAGAUGAGCCUAGGUCGGAUUAGCUAGUUGGUGAGGUAAUGGCUCACCAAGGCGACGAUCCGUAACUGGUCUGAGAGGAUGAUCAGUCACACUGGAACUGAGACACGGUCCAGACUCCUACGGGAGGCAGCAGUGGGGAAUAUUGGACAAUGGGCGAAAGCCUGAUCCAGCCAUGCCGCGUGUGUGAAGAAGGUCUUCGGAUUGUAAAGCACUUUAAGUUGGGAGGAAGGGUUGUAACCUAAUACGUUGCAAUCUUGACGUUACCGACAGAAUAAGCACCGGCUAACUCUGUGCCAGCAGCCGCGGUAAUACAGAGGGUGCAAGCGUUAAUCGGAAUUACUGGGCGUAAAGCGCGCGUAGGUGGUUCGUUAAGUUGGAUGUGAAAUCCCCGGGCUCAACCUGGGAACUGCAUUCAAAACUGACGAGCUAGAGUAUGGUAGAGGGUGGUGGAAUUUCCUGUGUAGCGGU
RNAcentral lists this ribosomal RNA (584 nucleotides) under uncultured Pseudomonas sp. Its description in RNAcentral is "bacterial SSU rRNA". It matches the Rfam family "Bacterial small subunit ribosomal RNA", at positions 102 to 682 of the family's 1533-position model. Lineage: Bacteria; Pseudomonadati; Pseudomonadota; Gammaproteobacteria; Pseudomonadales; Pseudomonadaceae. The record is from RNAcentral.